RNAcentral lists this transfer RNA (65 nucleotides) under Pangasianodon hypophthalmus (striped catfish). RNAcentral's name for it is "tRNA-Leu". The record is from RNAcentral. Lineage: Eukaryota; Metazoa; Chordata; Actinopteri; Siluriformes; Pangasiidae.
UCGAAGCUUCUAAAGGAUAAUAGUUCAUCCGUUGGUCUUAGGAACCAAAAACUUUUGACGCCACU